AAGGCUCUCCUUUUUCCUUUUCUUCUUUCUCUCUCUCGUUCUCCCUCGCAUCCGAAACGAACAAAAACAGAGCGGCAGCUCUUCCAUCAAUAGCUCCUCCCUUAGGCCACCAAACGACGUCGAACCACUUCCAUUUGCUUCGUCUCAGCCUUGCGCAGCUGCCAGAGGUAGCCUUGCACCGUGACACGGCCACCAGCGGCGGCGGGAAGCUCCGCCCGGUUUGAGCUCGUUUUGGAACCAAGCUUGAUAUCUCAAGCUACCGGUCACCAAUCCUCACCAAAUUUUAUCCACGAACUCGCCUCAACCUCCUGAAGCCCUCAGAAGUGUCCUUGCACAGCGGCGCUACUCGUGGUGGCGGCUGGGAGCCAGACCCGAUCAAAAUCUAAACCGAAGUAUUAAUCUUGAUAUUUCUAGCUUUGGACCAUCGUUUUGGGUGAUUCUUGAACUGGUGAACUCAUCUUGAAGUUCUGAACAACUCUUCAGAAGGAAUCGAAGCCUUAAAUUGAAGUUUUGACGUCGAAAUCGAGCCUUGCCGGAUUCUGCAAAAUCCUGGAAUUUUUCCGACCACCGAAGCUUUCGAUCGAAGGAAUCGAAUCCUUAAAUUGAAGUUUUUACGUCUAAUUGGAGCUCGCCGUUUUCUGCAGUUUGUCGCCGGAUUCUGGAAAUUUUCCGGCCACCUCGACUGUUCUAGGUGAUUGACGAAUCGAGCUGGUGGACGAUUCAGAUUGAUAUUUGGCUUUUAGAAGACGCAGCGGGAAUUUGAGGUGAGUAAACCUCACGUGGUUCAUA
Rosa rugosa (rugosa rose) is the source of this 789-nucleotide long non-coding RNA. RefSeq lists it as uncharacterized. The record is from RefSeq and is a predicted model, not a curated record. Lineage: Eukaryota; Viridiplantae; Streptophyta; Magnoliopsida; Rosales; Rosaceae. The transcript is spliced from 3 exons.